Molecule: long non-coding RNA, 2101 nt
Organism: Vespula vulgaris
Lineage: Eukaryota; Metazoa; Arthropoda; Insecta; Hymenoptera; Vespidae
Exons: 2
Source: RefSeq, a predicted model, not a curated record
AUAUUUAUAUUUUAUAUCGCACACGCAUUAUGAUUCUACGAUAAAUAAUAUUCUUUGAUACGAACAAUAUCGUUCUUACGAUAAUAGCCUUUUAAAACUUUUACAAUUUUUCAUUGGAAAAUAACUCAUCUAGAAAGAUAAAUCGAUUGUUCCCCUUUAAAGCUGUUCACUAGUCAUACUUUUAUAAUGCUUUACGCCAACAAAGAAAUUUGAAAAAAGUCUUUUUUUUAUGAAUAAAUUAAUCUCGAAAAAACUUAUUAACAUUUGCCUUAUCUUGCAAUUAUUCAUCGUUCGUUUCUGGUUUCGAGACCGUCCAUGAUGCAUCAUUGACGAGCAAAUCGCAAUACUCGUUAUAAACCUCAUAAAUGCAAGAUAUUGCGUCAUAGUGAUGUAUGUCACGUACGUUCAAAAUACAUGAAUUUGCUCGGAAAUCAAAAUUGACUAGACGCGUUUUAUUUGACCGUGAAUCAUCAUGACAAAGUCAUUCAUUAUUUAAUAUGAAAUAAAGGAAAGGUCACAGAUAAAUACAAAGCAAACGAUACGCGUAGUUUAAUAUCGGCAACAAACUUUAUUAUUGUUUGGUUUUUAUCUUUUGACUUUGGUUAGAUCAUUAUCGAUCGUCUUAAUAUGUAGCUUCUUAAGACAUAGAUUAGUUUGUGUACAGCAGUCAUACGGUUUAGUUCAGUGCUCGAGUAUCUCUCGUACAUUUAUAUACUUUUAAAUGAAACGUAUUUAUUGCGCGAUUUAAAUAUUAUCUUGAUAUCAUUUUUCACCGUAAGUAUUUAAAUCGACAUAAUAAAAAGAUCACACGUGUGUAUGUAAAUAGAUAGGAAAACGAUAUAAUGAAAACUAUUUAAAGAGAACGAGUUCGACGCUUGGCUAUCUAUACCGAUUAAUAAUUAUUUUACUCCACGUUCGCACGUCUAUCAACGUCUAUCACUAUUAAUUCUAAUGAGAAACCUCUUCGGUGUAGGGAAAUACAAAUGAAACUAUUUGAAAUGAACGUACAUAUAUAUAUCUCAUUGUUCGAGAAGCAAUUCGAAACAAAUAAAUUUUUAAGUUCGUAUGAAUAAAAUAAAAGGAAAAAGUUUAAAAAGUAGAAAUAAAAGAUUAAAGAAUUUCGAGGAAAAUUCUUGAUACGUUGUUAUUUUCAAAGAACGCUUAAAAUGUACUUUUCAAGAAAAGGAAGAAAUAUGAAGAAAGAAAGCUAAGAAAAAGUCAAGAGAGAAAAGGAGUCGCAUUCGUGUAUUCUUUAAACGAAAAACCUAUUUCUCCAAAAUGGCCUAGAGUUUUAUAGCAUGGUAGGUAACCAACUCUCUUCCCUACUGACUCAUAAACUAUGAGAAAAUGGCUUGAAGAAAAAUAGCAUCAUCGAAGAAGAAGAAGAAGAAGAAGAAAUAGAUAUCCACGGACGAGGAUAGAAUGUUAGUCGGUCACCGGCACGUACCUACCAAUAAGAAGUUGUGACGUAUCAACGGAAGCUAUGCGCCUCGAUGUUCAGCGAACCGAAACACGAUCGUGCCUCGUAUCCAGAUCGUGUCGCGAAUAAUUGGACACCAUACGAAAGAUUCUCCAAGCGAUUUCAGGGACUACACGCGGAAAGAAUAAUAUCGUUAUCGAGAAAAAUAAAAUAAUUCGUGAUAAGACGUGAAAAAAAAAAAGAUUCAAGAAAAGCUCUCGCAUGUUGAAUUUUUCAAAUUGGAGUUAUAUUGUAUUAAAAUAUGUAUAUAUAUUAUAUACUUCAAUACAAUAUAACAAACUAGCAAACGGAAAUUGAAACGUUAGGAUAUCGUAAUAUGACGAUGAAGUGUUUGUGUUCGCAGAAAGUAGACCAUGAAAUGACUUAAUCCAUGUCAACUAACGACGAAGUAAUAAUAUUGGAAUGUUAUCUUAUCUGUAGUUGAACUGUAUGCCGUCUAACACAAAUUUCAACGAUAAAGCUCGUAAAUUCAUGGAAUGAGAUAUACAUGCGUGUACCGAUGGCUAUGAAAGUGGUCUAAGUAAUUUGAGAUAUUAAAAUAUGUAUGUCGUAACACGAUAUUCUUCAAAUUUUUUAAUUACGUAAAUAAUUAUUUUUCAAAAAUAAAUAUACUUUGUUUUA